Molecule: long non-coding RNA, 2612 nt
Organism: Bombus terrestris (buff-tailed bumblebee)
Lineage: Eukaryota; Metazoa; Arthropoda; Insecta; Hymenoptera; Apidae
Exons: 2
Source: RefSeq, a predicted model, not a curated record
GCCGAGCCAGGGACCGGUUUGUCAAGAAACCAAAGGACACCUAAGGAUACACGUCAAGUUAGUACAAUCGUCUGUGAUUCACCAUAUUGGUAAACAGGGAUGUAUUUCUCGUGACAAGAAUAUACGUAGAUACGUAAUUUCCUAUGAUCACGACGAUUAAUACGAGACGUAUUAAUUUGAGCGCAUGAGGACGCACAGUUUCUUUCGCAAAGCCAACAGAAUUUAGGAAUCGUUGCAUUGUAACGAAUCUUGUAAACGAAAAGUAUUGGAAGAAUUUGAAAAAGAAGUGUCGAUGUAAAAUACUUAUGAGACGGAUAAACAGUGGGAACUCGCCAUCGCAAUCUGAUAAGACGAUGUCAAAUGAAUCUAAAAACUGGCGCGUUUGCUCUAUGCUCCCGUUUUCCAAGUUUAUUGUGCCGGUUGCCAUGGCGAUCUCUUGGGGACUGGUAACUAGUUGUAACUGUGUAUCACGCUAAGCUUAGAACUUCGCUGUAGACUGUGUCGAAUGCUCGCUGGGACUCGACUGAGAAAACAAUCUACUACCAGCAAGCCACCACCAAACCUAAAUAUGUAAAAUAAAUUUUCGUUGCCACACGUGACACCAGUACAUAAUACUCAUAACAUACACAGCUUUCUAUAUGUAUUCUUAACGUUAUUGUACACGUGGAAAAUUUUUGAAUAAAGCAAAGAAAAAAAUAUGUAUGAAUAACGACAAAUCAUGACUUCGUGUUGGUUUCCUAGAUAUGGUAAGUAUAAUCGACUAAGUAACGUAUAUAGUUCAAAAUAUCGAAGCAUGUAUUUAACGUAAUAAGAGUAUAGGAAGGUCGUCCAGAAAAUACUGCUAACACACUUUUUCCCUCGCAUCAUUCGAAAAUUGAUAAUUGAAUAUCACGUAUAAAACGAGCUGCGUCUUCGUCUUUUUCGCUUGCACUUGACGAGUCUAUUUCGAAUUUCUUUUUGAUAGGUACGUUCCUACGUACUGAUAUCUACGUGGAAGAACGAAAUUAUGUAUCGAAUAGACGAACAAAAUUACAUAUGAUAGUUAACGUUUCAAUAAUCGUUGCUUCGAAUGAUUAGUGCAUUUAAAUUAGUUGAAGAUGACAGUAAAUUAACGAAAGAAAUCUUGAUGUAAUAAUUUUUUAAAUAUAAUUACAAGUUCUAGUCGAUAAAUUACAGAACGAAAUUACCACAUCGGAAUAUGGAAAUCGAAGCAAAAUAUUAUGCUUCACCAAAAGUAAAUGGUGAAAUUACACACACGUUAGAUGUUGCAAUACGAUUUCAAAUACUAAGAAAUAGUGCAGUAUGCACUACUGGAAACGACGAAUUUCUUCCACUUUGAUAUCAUUUAGCUAGCUGCAUAUCUAUUUCAAAUCUCAAUUGCAACUUACAGGCUAUAGUACUUAACAACAAAGAAUGAUGGAGAAACGAAAUUUCGGCCUGUUAGCCUAAAUAAAAGUACUAAGAAUAAAAUAUUAUUAAAUUAUUGCAAAGGUUUAAUGUAAAUAAAAGGUCUUCUAUUGUUAAUUUACUGUCAUUUCUCAGUAUUUUAAAUGUAUUUAUUAUUUAUAAUAAUGAUUAUUAAAAUAUUAACUGUCGAUUUAACUUUUAUAACUUUAUUUAAAUACUAUGACCUUUAAAUACGGAUUUAUCUUGUUUUUCAAUUGUUAUUGAUCCGAGUUAUCGUCUAGUUUACGUUCUUGACCGUUGCUCAACAGUCAAAAGACGCGAAUUCGCAAAUUCAAUAUGACCAUGACACAUGUUACCUAAUCAUAGUCACAAAGGUACUAAGAUUUAUUAAUAUAUUCCAGUUAGAGAUAAUGUGAAGCUCGAUAUUUAUCUUAAAGCAAUGAAUUUUUUCGUGUUAAAUUAUUCACGUACUGACGUAAACAAAGUGCAGUGUUGUUCGUUGUAAAGGAGAAGAUUCUUCCAUCUUUAAAUCUAUGGUGAUUUGGGUGAUUUGAAUUAGUCAUGGUGCUUGGUCCAACUUCCAAAGUCUAAAGAAAAUCUAGAGAUUUUCCAAUUCGCAUUGUCAGUUUAAACGUGUGAUAGAAUAACGACAUUAAAUAUUUAAACACAAAAUUUUGUAUGCUUAUGUCAAUACAUGAAUGGAACUAGGUGAACUUCUAUAAGUACAUUCCAUAGUUUCAUAUGGCUUCUAUAUGUACGCAUACUUUCUGGUUGUCAUCAUAUAUGUAUUUUUUGCUUUGUAUGAACUUUUAUAAAACAUUAAUUAUACGUCCUUAUUACUAAUCUUUCAAGGUAAUUGUAUAAAUGUUGCUAAAUUAAAAAAUUUAUUUAGUCUUAGACAAAUACUAGAAAAUCUUUCGAGGGACAGAAUUUAAGCAUCUCGUUUUAUUAUCGCUAACUGUAAAGAAAACGAACGAAAUUGAAAGGUAAGUAAAUUUAUGUACUUGAAUAGAAGGAGAAACACCCACAAGAGGAGAAUUGGAAUAACAAUGGAACACGUUUGGGUUAAUAGAAUUUCAAUUUAUUAAGUUUUUUUCCCUAGCCGUCGGUGUCUUGAUUCUCAUUUACAAAGGUAUUAUAUGACUGUAGUGGUAUUUUUACUAAUAAAUCGACGAUGGUAGCAAUCAAUUCAAUAACCGUAAUCA